This is a long non-coding RNA of Hyalella azteca, 948 nucleotides long. RefSeq lists it as uncharacterized. Lineage: Eukaryota; Metazoa; Arthropoda; Malacostraca; Amphipoda; Hyalellidae. The transcript is spliced from 5 exons. The record is from RefSeq and is a predicted model, not a curated record.
CUGGUUACUGGAUUGAUGUGUGACAAGUGCUCCGAGGUUACUGAUUGGAGGGCUGUGACCCUAGUGCCAGUGUUACUCCAGUGCUACUCCGUGCUAUCCACUGUUUCAGUACCGCCCAGUGAUACCUAGUAUUACCCGGUGCCACCUUGUAUUACCCAAUGCUAUUCAGCCGCCCAGUGCUAGUCAGUGAUACUCAGGACUACACAGUACAAUCUGUAUUAUUCAGUGAUCCAGUGCAACUCAGUGCCAGCCAAUGCUGACCAGUGUAAUUCAGUGCUAUCCAGUGAUAUUUUCAGUGCCUCAGUGCUCAUUGCUUAUAAGGUGUACUCCAGUGUUACUCGGGAGUCACAGGCAACCAUUGAUCUGUUGCCCAGUCUGGGUAGGACUAGGAGCUGGUUGACCCAGUCUCAAGAGUGCGCAUAACCUGAAGCUUAACCCGGACGCUAGAGAUUCAAGAUGGAAACUUGGAAUCACCUAACUCGGAAGAUAGCCUGCCCUGAAGAGUUCUAUGUGUGUGAGCUAUGACUUCUCACGAUGUGAAAGAAAAUUGAAGAUCGGUGACGUCUCAAACACUGAUAUCAGUGCGUCGGAGACGGAAAAAAAGAGAUCCGGAAGACCAACCCUUACAUCGGGAAUUGAAGAAGAUCUUUUGGCCGCUUCACCGCACGCUUUUCCCGUUAUAGGCGGUCUGCUCAAUUUCUGGGUGCUGGCACAUCAGACUCUUCGUCGUCGGAGUCAGGGGUAAUGGAAGCAAAGCGACAUCCUGCAGCAGUUAAACCCAAUACCAGCCGGACUGGGCUGACAGCAAACAACACAAAACUCCCUUCUCAAAAGUAUGUUCAUUUGUAAUGUGCAGGUGGAGCAGGUGCAACAGCUGCAGGCGCAGCUGCGGGCUGCAGGUGCUCAGGUACAACAACAGCAGCAGCAGAUGCAGCAACUGCAAGCACA